UGGGUCUAAGACCAUAAAAAAUGGCUGCCGUUUCCAUGGAAACAGAACAAUUGUGAAAAAUUCCAGUUUUUGGUUUUGGUGAAUAAUUUGGAGAUGCUUAAACUCAGAAUCAUUAUAUUUUAAUACAAUGUAGGUGCCAGCCAUAUACUGGUUUUGGAUGAUUUUGGCAAUCAUUGGAACUACUAUGUUGCCAUGGAAACUACACCAAAAAUUUCAAAAAUAUCAAAAUGCUCCAAAUUUUUUGAAACUUCACAGUAACGAUGAGCAACAUUGGUAGAUGUGGAAUUUGGCGUUGGAAUUUCCAAAAUGUCUGCCGUUACCAUGGAAACAGAGCAUAAGUGUCAAAAUGCUCUAAAAACUUCAGGGUUUGGUGAAUAAUUUUGGUAUGCUUGAACUUGAAAUCAUCAAAUUUUUACACAAUAUAGUUAUCCACUAUAUACAGGUUUUGAUUGAUUUUGACAAUCAUUGGAACUACUCUGUUACCAUGGAUACAGGAUCAAAUAUUUCAAAAAUUUCAAAAUGCUCCAAAAUUGAUGAAACUUAAUAUGAUUGUUGACUGGCAAGUCUGGAUGAGACUUUUGACUUUGGA
RNAcentral lists this long non-coding RNA (589 nucleotides) under Mytilus galloprovincialis (Mediterranean mussel). Lineage: Eukaryota; Metazoa; Mollusca; Bivalvia; Mytilida; Mytilidae. The record is from RNAcentral.